RNAcentral lists this ribosomal RNA (253 nucleotides) under uncultured bacterium. RNAcentral's name for it is "partial 16S ribosomal RNA". It matches the Rfam family "Bacterial small subunit ribosomal RNA", at positions 524 to 776 of the family's 1533-position model. The record is from RNAcentral.
UACGUAGGGGGCAAGCGUUGUCCGGAUUUAUUGGGCGUAAAGAGCUCGUAGGCGGCUCGUCGCGUCGACUGUGAAAACUCGGGGCUUAACCCUGGGCUUGCAGUCGAUACGGGCGGGCUAGAGUUCGGUAGGGGAGACUGGAAUUCCUGGUGUAGCGGUGAAAUGCGCAGAUAUCAGGAGGAACACCGGUGGCGAAGGCGGGUCUCUGGGCCGAUACUGACGCUGAGGAGCGAAGGCGUGGGGAGCGAACAGG